GACAGAGGGUGCAAACGUUGUUCGGAAUUACUGGGCGUAAAGCGUGUGUAGGCGGUCUCAUAAGUCGGGUGUGAAAGCCCCGGGCUCAACCCGGGAAGUGCACUCGAAACUGGAAGGCUAGAGUGCCGGAGGGGAGAGUGGAAUUCCUGGUGUAGCGGUGAAAUGCGUAGAUAUCAGGAGGAAUACCGGUGGCGAAAGCGACUCUCUGGACGGUAACUGACGCUGAGGCACGAAAGCGUGGGGAGCAAACAGG
This 253-nucleotide ribosomal RNA is filed under the name uncultured bacterium. Its description in RNAcentral is "partial 16S ribosomal RNA". It matches the Rfam family "Bacterial small subunit ribosomal RNA", at positions 524 to 776 of the family's 1533-position model. The record is from RNAcentral.